CAGUCGCGCGGUAAUACAGAGGGUGCGAGCGUUAAUCGGAUUUACUGGGCGUAAAGCGUGCGUAGGCGGCUUUUUAAGUCGGAUGUGAAAUCCCUGAGCUUAACUUAGGAAUUGCAUUCGAUACUGGGAAGCUAGAGUAUGGGAGAGGAUGGUAGAAUUCCAGGUGUAGCGGUGAAAUGCGUAGAGAUCUGGAGGAAUACCGAUGGCGAAGGCAGCCAUCUGGCCUAAUACUGACGCUGAGGUACGAAAGCAUGGGGAGCAAACAGGAUUAGAUACCCCCGUAGUCCCUGUCUCUUAUACA
This 301-nucleotide ribosomal RNA is filed under the name uncultured bacterium. RNAcentral's name for it is "partial 16S ribosomal RNA". It matches the Rfam family "Bacterial small subunit ribosomal RNA", at positions 509 to 808 of the family's 1533-position model. The record is from RNAcentral.